CCUACGGGAGGCAGCAGUGAGGAAUAUUGGUCAAUGGACGCAAGUCUGAACCAGCCAAGUAGCGUGCAGGAUGACGGCCCUCCGGGUUGUAAACUGCUUUUAGUUGGGAAUACAAGGGGGCUCGUGAGCCCCGUAUUGUAUGUACCAUCAGUACAAGGACCGUCUAAUUCCGGGCCAGCAGCCGCGGUAAUACGGAGGGUACGGGAGUUAUCCGGAUUUAUUGGGUUUAAAGGGGGCGUAGGGUGGCUUUUAAGUCAGCUGUGAAAUUCCGUGGCCCAACCGUGGAACUGCAGUUGAAACUGGCAGACUGGAGUGCGUACAGGGAUGGCGGAAUUCAUGGUGUAGCGGUGAAAUGCGUAGAUAUCAUGAAGAACACCGAUGGCGAAGGCGAGUGUCCGGGACGCAACUGACGCUGAGGCGCGAAAGUGCGGGUAGCAAACAGGAUUAGAUACCCCUGUAGUC
RNAcentral lists this ribosomal RNA (462 nucleotides) under uncultured bacterium. RNAcentral's name for it is "partial 16S ribosomal RNA". It matches the Rfam family "Bacterial small subunit ribosomal RNA", at positions 338 to 795 of the family's 1533-position model. The record is from RNAcentral.